RNAcentral lists this ribosomal RNA (497 nucleotides) under uncultured Actinomycetes bacterium. RNAcentral describes it as "bacterial SSU rRNA". It matches the Rfam family "Bacterial small subunit ribosomal RNA", at positions 8 to 522 of the family's 1533-position model. Lineage: Bacteria; Bacillati; Actinomycetota; Actinomycetes. The record is from RNAcentral.
AGAGUUUGAUCCUGGCUCAGGACGAACGCUGGCGGCGUGCUUAACACAUGCAAGUCGAACGAUGAAGCCCUUCGGGGUGGAUUAGUGGCGAACGGGUGAGUAACACGUGGGCAAUCUGCCCUUCACUCUGGGACAAGCCCUGGAAACGGGGUCUAAUACCGGAUAACACCGGCUCCUGCAUGGGAGCUGGUUAAAAGCUCCGGCGGUGAAGGAUGAGCCCGCGGCCUAUCAGCUUGUUGGUGGGGUAAUGGCCUACCAAGGCGACGACGGGUAGCCGGCCUGAGAGGGCGACCGGCCACACUGGGACUGAGACACGGCCCAGACUCCUACGGGAGGCAGCAGUGGGGAAUAUUGCACAAUGGGCGAAAGCCUGAUGCAGCGACGACGCGUGAGGGAUGACGGCCUUCGGGUUGUAAACCUCUUUCAGCAGGGAAGAAGCGAAAGUGACGGUACCUGCAGAAGAAGCGCCGGCUAACUACGUGCCAGCAGCCGCGGUA